This 85-nucleotide microRNA precursor is filed under the name Bombyx mori (domestic silkworm). RNAcentral's name for it is "mir-2807 microRNA precursor family". It matches the Rfam family "mir-2807 microRNA precursor family". Lineage: Eukaryota; Metazoa; Arthropoda; Insecta; Lepidoptera; Bombycidae. The record is from Rfam by way of RNAcentral.
UUAACUCGACUUUGUAUGGAGUUGGAACAGCUUCCCUUCGUUUGUCGCUAGGGGCGCUGCUCCUAUUCCAUACAAAUUUUAAUUA